UUCUUCCCUUUGCAUGCAAAUCGUUCCCACCCCCCUCUCUCUCUCCUCUCUCCCUCCGUGUGUCUCUCUCUAUCUAUCUCCCCUUUCUCCGGAGCUUGUGAGGCUAGCAGCAGAUGCUAGCUGUCAGUAAACGACGCAUCAAAAUAAAAACAGGGCUGCUUUUAUUUCCCCAAAUGCUCGCUCCCCAUUUCUCUGCUCGGUUUUUUAAAAAAAGCCAUUCGCGUUAAAAAACAACAACAAAAGCAAGCGACGACGGCGUUUUUGUAACCGCAGUGAUACAAAAGAAAAAACCUCCACACGGCAAGAAAGUGUUCAAAUACCGAACGAGGAAGUGUAGAGAAAGCAGGCCGCGUUUUAAUAUAUUUUUUUUUUACUCAUUUUCCUCCGGAGACGCCAUUUUUGAAGGCGGCUGGCCGCUGUCCGUCCUCCCUCUCCCCCUCUCUGUCUCUCCGCCGAGACUCACCGAGUGUCUGCGGUGACCUCCAUUCACCGAGCCACAGUCUGCCAAACAAGAGCUGCACCUUUUUUUUUUCCUCCCCUCUCUCUCUUUCUAUAUCUCCAUAUUAUGGACAGGCUAAUUGUUAUUUAGACUACUUUUUUUUUUUUACACGAACAACAACACACACAAAAAAGGGAGUCAGCUGUUUGUGUUGAACGCUGCCAUUGGCUGAGACGCGUUCGAGUGCAAAAGUAUUUCCAGCAAUAACCAGAUAUAUAUAUAUAUAUAAAUAAAUAAAUCACAAAUUCAACAUCCGAAUCAGAAACAGAGGUAUUCCUCUAAUCAGAUGUCUAAUUAAUUAAAAAAAAAAAAAAGGCUUGCAGCUUGGCGUGUAUCAGCAUGCCAACAUGGGGUAUUUUCUCCCUUCAGAUAUGCCAAGAUACCAAGACCUGUUUCAGGCCCUUUUUUUUUUGUGUGUGCUAAUUUUAGUAUUUGGAGAACCUGUCUGCCAGACCCCAUAUGCACUUGAUUUGCUCACCAGCAGAUGGCACACUGGAUUUUAUGACCGGGCAGCAGUGCACCUCCACAAAAUCCAGCUCUCUUCUGUCAACAUGCCAGACUCUAACGAAGCCGUGCCAGCGCCAUGCCAGGUUAUCAAAGAGGACAUUGACAAAUGUGUCAGAGAGAAAGGAGCAGAGGGUUGUAAAGAUCUGAUAGAUGCCUUCCAGGCCUGUAUAAAAACCCUGUCUGAAGGAUCAUAAUACAAAAGGAAACACAUCUUAAUAAAAUCAUUCCCCUUCUGCGUAUUGCACUGGACCGAACCAUCUGAAAAACAGAAGAGGGGGGUGGGGUUGUUAUGAACUUGUUAUGAACUUGUUAUGGACUUCUAUGAUACUUAUUGUCUAUGUACUGUAAUAUUUUUAUGCACAAAUAAAAAUAUUUCUAAAAAGCUUGUCCAUUUUCCACACACAGCAUAUUCAUUUCAAUAAAAAAUGUUAAA
This is a long non-coding RNA of Larimichthys crocea (large yellow croaker), 1439 nucleotides long. RefSeq lists it as uncharacterized. The record is from RefSeq and is a predicted model, not a curated record. Lineage: Eukaryota; Metazoa; Chordata; Actinopteri; Sciaenidae. The transcript is spliced from 4 exons.